UAGCGGAACUCCUACGGGAGGCAGCAGUGGGGAAUUUUGCACAAUGGGGGAAACCUUGAUGCAGCGACGCCGCGUGAUUUAGAAGGCCUUCGGGUUGUAAAAAUCUUUUGUAUAGGAAGAAAAUGACAGUACUAUACGAAUAAGGACCGGCUAAUUACGUGCCAGCAGCCGCGGUAAUACGUAAGGUCCGAGCGUUGUCCGGAAUCAUUGGGCGUAAAGGGUACGUAGGCGGGUAAGCAAGUUAGAAGUGAAAUCCUAUAGCUCAACUAUAGUAAGCUUUUAAAACUGCUCAUCUUGAGGUAUGGAAGGGAAAGUGGAAUUCCUAGUGUAGCGGUGAAAUGCGCAGAUAUUAGGAGGAAUACCGGUGGCGAAGGCGACUUUCUGGCCAUAACCUGACGCUGAGGUACGAAAGCGUGGGUAGCAAACAGGAUUAGAAACCCUAGUAGUCCACUUAUG
This 456-nucleotide ribosomal RNA is filed under the name uncultured bacterium. RNAcentral's name for it is "bacterial SSU rRNA". It matches the Rfam family "Bacterial small subunit ribosomal RNA", at positions 328 to 803 of the family's 1533-position model. The record is from RNAcentral.